UGUUGAUGAUGACAAAUCCAAUGGUUUGUUUCUCAAAAACAUUCGCAGUGGCCGCCUAAGAGCUUUCGCCUUCGCCUAGGCUUGAGAGCUACUGCUGCUUCUAUCCUUCCUUGGAUGUCUGAAACC
Molecule: small nucleolar RNA, 126 nt
Organism: Cephalotus follicularis
Lineage: Eukaryota; Viridiplantae; Streptophyta; Magnoliopsida; Oxalidales; Cephalotaceae
Rfam family: Small nucleolar RNA SNORD14
About the family: U14 small nucleolar RNA (U14 snoRNA) is required for early cleavages of eukaryotic precursor rRNAs.
Source: Rfam